GAGAGUUCCAGGUAGAGUGCUGUAGCACUCUGGUGUUUGCAUGCAGCCAGCAGCACCCGUUUUCCCUCUUUCCAUAUUCCCAGUCCUUUAAUCAGCAGGCUGAGCAGACUGAGAUGAUACUGCUGGUUUUCUUUGCUGUCUGCUUUAGGAAGGGGUCUUUCUGUGUUCACCACAAGAGAAUGUUGCCAGCAGUGUGCCAUCACCAGACCAUCAUCACCGUCCCAGGGGUUUCCGUGCAGGACCUGGAAACACAGUGAGGAACUGGCUGUCACCCACAGAAGGAAGUGCGUCAGAGGUGAUUUAAUCCCAGCCACCAUGCCCAAAACUGAGUCUUUAACUCUUUCACUUGGAGCAAGAGGGCAGUUGCUGGCACCUAAACGAGCAGUGCCAGUAAUUGCUGUGUGCUGUGAUAAAUGCAUAUGGCCAUGCACAAGUCUGAAUGUAUGAAGCAAAGUCCCUUGGAACUGCCUACAGCAAAAGUUGAAGUCAUCUGGAAGUCACAAGAUGUCUUAUCUGUAGUAUGAAGUCAUGAGUCAUUUUAUGCCCAAGAAACCAACAUCAUCAAAUUCAGAGAAAUCACAGCGUGGGACAGACACAAUGAGACAAAGAAUACACGAUGCUCCAAGGUGGCUCUGCUAGUUAUUUGCCUCACUGAAUAGAGGAUAAAAUCAGCACAUUGCUCUGUGACUGUCACCUGCUCUCUCCUCUGACUUCCUAGCACCUAGCAGCAGUCCUCUUGGGUUUGUUUCCUCAUGGGAUACAAGGCUUAGAAGGCACAACCUGGGUUGGAGAAGUGCCCAGGCUUUCAGAAAGCCUGGGGUUCAGGUAGCAUCUGGCUUGAUGUUUGUCAGAAUAAAUGGCUGGCCCACUGAGACAGGCAUAUUACAGCCCAUUCCAAUAUCCGCGGCACCAAGCUACUGACUCACUUCAGCCCAUGGAGCUUGGAGACGUAAGUGCCAAAUGAGCUCAGGCAUACUGAGCCGCCCCAUGAUGUAGCCU
Molecule: long non-coding RNA, 999 nt
Filed under: Gallus gallus (chicken)
Lineage: Eukaryota; Metazoa; Chordata; Aves; Galliformes; Phasianidae
Description: lncRNA (ENSGALG00010003369.1)
Source: RNAcentral